GGCCACGUGGAGAAAUUGGUAGACUCGCCAUCUUGAGGGGGUGGUGUUGAAAGACGUAUGGGUUCGAAUCCCAUCGUGGUCACGA
Molecule: transfer RNA, 85 nt
Filed under: Flavobacterium sp. 40-81
Lineage: Bacteria; Pseudomonadati; Bacteroidota; Flavobacteriia; Flavobacteriales; Flavobacteriaceae
Description: tRNA-Leu
Rfam family: tRNA
About the family: Transfer RNA (tRNA) molecules are approximately 80 nucleotides in length. Their secondary structure includes four short double-helical elements and three loops (D, anti-codon, and T loops).
Source: RNAcentral